UUUUAAGCCCAUUCGAGUCGAAUGUAGCAAUACAUGGCGUACUGCUCAGUAACACGUGGACAACCUACCCUCCGGACGGGUAUAAACCCGGGAAACUGGGUAUAAUCCCCGACAGAUCUCGGUCGCUGGAAAGCCCCGAGAUCGAAAGCUCCGGCGCCAGAGGAUGGGUCUGCGGCCUAUCAGGUAGUAGUGGGUGUAGCGUACCUACUAGCCUACGACGGGUACGGGUUGUGAGAGCAAGAGCCCGGAGAUGGAUUCUGAGACACGAAUCCAGGCCCUACGGGGUGCAGCAGGCGCGAAAACUUUACAAUGCCGGCAACGGCGAUAAGGGGACCUCGAGUGCCAGGUUACAAAUCUGGCUGUCGUGAUGCCUAAAAAGCAUUGCAUAGCAAGGGCCGGGCAAGACCGGUGCCAGCCGCCGCGGUAACACCGGCGGCUCGAGUGGUGGCCAUUAUUAUUGGGUUUAAAGCGUCCGUAGCCGGCCAGAUAAGUCUCCUGGGAAAUCCAUCAGCUCAACCGAUGGGCGUUCAGGAGAUACUGGCAACCUAGGGGCCGGGAGAGGUGAGAGGUACUUCAGGGGUAGGGGUGAAAUCUUGUAAUCCUUGAAGGACCACCAGUGGCGAAGGCGUCUCACCAGAACGGACCUGACGGCAAGGGACGAAAGCUAGGGGCACGAACCGGAUUAGAUACCCGGGUAGUCCUAGCCGUAAACGAUACUCGCUAGGUGUCGGCCACGGUGCGACCGUUGUCGGUGCCGUAGGGAAGCCGUGAAGCGAGCCACCUGGGAAGUACGGCCGCAAGGCUGAAACUUAAAGGAAUUGGCGGGGGAGCACCACAACGGGUGGAGCUUGCGGUUUAAUUGGAUUCAACGCCGGAAAUCUUACCGGGACCGACAGCAAUAUGAAGGCCAGGCUGAAGACUUUGCCGGAUUAGCUGAGAGGUGGUGCAUGGCCGUCGUCAGUCGUACUGAAGUA
RNAcentral lists this ribosomal RNA (974 nucleotides) under uncultured Methanosarcinales archaeon. Its description in RNAcentral is "bacterial SSU rRNA". It matches the Rfam family "Archaeal small subunit ribosomal RNA", at positions 42 to 1023 of the family's 1478-position model. Lineage: Archaea; Methanobacteriati; Methanobacteriota; Methanomicrobia; Methanosarcinales. The record is from RNAcentral.